AUGCUCUCCAUCGCCCCCUUCUGCUUCCUGAUGGUCUUCAGGUUCUUGUCAGAGCUGAACAGCUCGAGCGUGACCUCCUGGAAGUAGACGGACCGCUCCUCCUCCGCCCUGAUGGCCGCGACGGCCGACUCCAGCACGGCCUCGUUGAGCUCCAGCACGCGCAUCAGCCCGUCCCGCGCGCUCUCCCGCUCCAGGAUCCGCCGCGUCUCCAUCGACUCCACCUCCCCGAGCACGUAG
This 237-nucleotide ribosomal RNA is filed under the name Triticum aestivum (bread wheat). Its description in RNAcentral is "partial small subunit ribosomal RNA". The record is from RNAcentral. Lineage: Eukaryota; Viridiplantae; Streptophyta; Magnoliopsida; Poales; Poaceae.